This 5327-nucleotide long non-coding RNA is filed under the name Olea europaea subsp. europaea. Lineage: Eukaryota; Viridiplantae; Streptophyta; Magnoliopsida; Lamiales; Oleaceae. The record is from RNAcentral.
UUUUCCCAUUCUAAUCAACUUUCUCAUCAAUUUCCAUCAAGUUGAUCUCAGAUCUAUACCAUUUUCCAAAAACACAGUAAAAUAUAUAUGUUUCUGCAGUUCAAUUUCUUGGCUUAUUAUUAUGAAGUUGAUACGGUUUGAUGCGCUUCUUCUUCUUCUUCAGCUUCUCUUUAGCAAGGCAGCAUCAGAGUUCAAUAUAGAGACUCUUCCGGGUUAUUCGGGUACUCUGCCUGUCAAACUCGAAACAGGGUGGGUUUCUUUCAUUCUUUAACAACUUCCUUUUGACUUUUAAUUCCAGAAACUGAAUAAUUUUUUUUUAUAAAUUUGGAUGAUUAGAUAUAUUGAUGUGGGAGAAACUGAAGAAGUGCAACUAUUCUACUACUUCGUCGAGUCCGAAAGCAAUCCUAAAACGGACCCUAUUCUGCUUUGGCUCACGGGUGGACCUGGUUGCUCUGCUCUCUCCGGCCUCUUUUAUGAAAUCGGUACUCUCUCUAUAUGUGUGUGUAUUAUUAUUUUCUUUCAGCAAAUGGGACUUAUACAUACUCAGGGAAUUGCACCCUUCCUAUGCAUAAACGAGAGAGAUGUGUGUGUGCAGUAUGCAAAUGAUGAGUAGCAACCAGCAAAAUAUGGAAAGUGAUUCGCACCAUUCAAAUUGAACACACGAAAGAUCUGCAAGUGCUCGGUAUCGUAGAUAAGUAAUAUAAUGAUAAGUAGAGUAUCAUCUCACGAAAAUUAUGUAUUUAAUCUAGUAUCAAUUAAUGCUUAAUCUAAUCGAAUUGUUGAGUUUGUAUGGUGAAUUUAUACUAAUUAAUUAAUUAAAUUACUUCAAUGAGCAACUUAUGAAAGCUUUUUGUAAAAAUUAGGUUAAGCACUUGCUACGACUUUAAAUUUUCCUUAUUAAUCCAAUUUAAUGCAAUUCAAUAUCAUGACAAUGUUUAAUCAUUCUUUUUUUUUUUUUUUUAUAUAUCAAUGUUCCUAGAUUAUUUAAUAAUUUCUCUCCCGUAGAAAAUCUAUUCUUUCUUGUGACCCUUAUAAAUCUUUCUAUGAAAGGCAAACAUAAAAGCAAGUGCUCAAACUUUAGAACAUCUAUUGAACUCUGCGACGCACUCGAUCAUACUUCACAAAAUCUACUAUAACGUGCUAUAUAUAUUAUUAUUUCUCUUGAAUAUAACAAAAUUCACACAUCAAUCCAAUUAUUAAUCAGGUAAUUCAAAGGCAUUAAACCCUAUAACAAUCUCCUAAGAAUAACAAAUAUUAGGUGUCAAAAUAUUGAAAUUUUAUUAAAAUUUCAUAACAAAGGUUCAUUUAUAUCUUAGCAACUAAUAAUCUAGCAUAGCAUUACUAAGUUGCAUUAAAUCAUAAUUAAUUUGGAGAACACCAUUCGGAUUCUCGAUAGAUGAAGAAAAGGAGGAAUCACGAAAUCUUUAAUAUCUUCACUGGUUUUUUAAUUAAUGUCCAACUUUAUAUUCUUUUUCAUUGCCAAAAAUCAAUGUUAAAUCUUCAAAUGAUUGAAUUCUCGUAUAUUGCCUCUUGAAUUCUCCCAAAAGAACAAUUAAUUGGCCUCUCUUUGUUGCAAGAUUAUGCGUAUGAUAUGAUAUGAGAGAAGUCCUUCCAAUGUUUGAUGGUGUUGUGUAUUUAUAACGGUCGAAUUUAUGUCAAAAUCCAAGUUUUGAAAUUGACUUCCAAAAUGUGGUUUGACUCAAAAUAGGAAACAGCUCCCAUCUGUCAGAAUUUGGGUCGUGCAGUUCGUGCCCUAUAGUCUUUAGGAAUGUUCAGUUUGGCCCUCAUCUUUGGUCCUUUGUUUAUUAUGAGUCUGUUCUUCUUGUAAUUUCAAUCCUUCAUCUUCUAUAUUCACUCAAUUGAAUCCAUGCAAUCUUCAAUCACUUUUCUUGAUCGAAAUCAACUUUUUAAUAUUUGUAAUUGAGUCCAUGAACUUUGAAAUUCUUCCUUUUUCACCCUUCUUUUUCCAAUUUCUACUUCUUUUGCUCAAAACCAAUCCAAACUUGAGUAUGUUUUGCAACAAUCGAUAUUUAAACAAAUUAAAUAGCAAUUAACUCAAAAAGAUGAUAAAUAUGAUAGCUAGAUAGGUGUAUAAAAAGUGGGUUAUGUUAUAUGUAGAUUAUGGUGUCCAUAAGGGUAUCCAUAAUGUACAAACGGUUUAAUAUCAAUUGAGGGUUGAAAAAUAAUUUUUUUGACCCUCCAAUCAUGGAAUUCCACAUGCAUAUUAUAGAUACUAUAAUGUACAUGUAGAAUUACACUAUCACAAAUGACAUAGACAACAAAUUCAAAAUAUUAAAAAGGGUGGAUUUUUAUUUAUUUAUUUUUACUUGGUUGUGUUGGAAUGAUUGCCCCAAAUUUCUAACUCAAAAUUUUUUACAAUAAUUUACAAAUGAAGAGCAAACUAGUUCCUAUAUCCUGUGUGAGUUCGCUAAUUUAGUGAUUUUUAAUGGUGAUUUAAGUUUCAACUAGUUUUGUUUAGAAUGAAUUUCCAUUCUAAGAGUAUAUUUCCAAGUAGCUGGCCAUAGAAUUCGACAUGGUAAACUUUACGGCUUAAAAAUCCACUAAAAAAAUCAUUGCCCUUUCCAAAUUUUCACUGCAUCUCUCCAGAAAAAAAAAAUCCAAUUCUAAAAAUUGUUAAAUAUAAUCAGCAAGAAUGAAAGAAUAUUAUAUUUUGAUUACCCCAUUAACCUAUAUUUGAAAUAUAACUUUCAUGAUGUUCAUGUCAAUUUUGUGUGCUUUUGUGUAGGUCCAUUAGCCUUCGAUGUUGCAGAUUUUGAUGGAAGCUUACCAUCUAUUCACCAAAAUCCAUAUUCAUGGACCAAGGUCAUAAACAUAUCUCACUCCAUGAAUAAAGACAUGUACGUAUCUCAUCUAUAGCUCUCUAAGUUUAGCACUGCAGUAAUUUAGCCUUAUGAUUUGCAGGUUGCCAACAUUAUAUUUAUUGAUUGGCCUGUUGGCACUGGAUUUUCCUAUGCAAACACAUCGAAAGGUUACUCUUCUUCAGACACCAAAUCAGCAAAAGACAACUAUACGUUUCUUAGAAAGGUAUGUUGAUAUUGUUAAUCAUAAGUCAUAUUUGUAAGUAGCUAUUGAAGACUAGAAUUUUAAGUUAUUAGGCUUCUCCGUUUCACCUAUUAAAAAGUCGCUUAUAUACAACUCAUGCUUAAAAGUAAUGUGUGAGGUUAGAAUGUUCGAUGUAUUUGUAAACCCAUAAGCUAGGCCUUUCGCUAGCGAUGUAGGAUUUAAAAAUAGUCGCUACACCAUCCACGUGUUUUCUUUGCGUUAGUGAUCUAACAAAAUAUUGAAAAUGCAGUGGUUGUUGAAUCACCCUAUGUUUAUGAAAAAUCGUUUAUAUGUUGCGGGGGACUCUUAUGGUGGCAAACUGGUUCCCAUGGUUGCCUUGGAAAUAUCAAAAGGUAUGUAUGUAAAUAAGAAAUAUAAAACUUGGUUUUAUUCGAUUUUUUUCUUAAUUAGCUAUGCCUGAUUAAGUUGUAAGUGUGCUGGUAAUGCAGGCAAUGAAGCAAGCUUGCAGCCACGAAUAUCUCUCCAAGUACUAAUUUACUAUUUAUAUGAUAACUCCAUUUUUAUUUUCAAAAUUUGUAACCUAUAUCACAUUAAUGAGAGAGUGCUUUCGGAAUUGAAAUAGGGAUACAUUAUUGGGAAUGGAUUAACAGAUCCAAACAUUGAUUACAAUGAACGAAUUCCAUAUGCUCACCGAAUGGCUCUUAUACCAGAUGAAUAUUUUGAGGUAGUGAUAUUCUCGAGUCUAUUAUUUUGAUGAUAAAAUUAAUCACACCUAAAACUUAUUGGUGAGUCUACUCUUAAUUUUUUUUUUUAUAGCUAAACGUUUUCCUUAUUCGUGUAACUUGAUACAAUUUUAGUCAGCAAAAAUUAGCUGUGAUGGGAAAUAUUACAAUCCUGAUCCAAAAAAUCUGCAAUGUCUUUAUGCUCUUAGACCGAUCCAAGAGGUAACAUUUGCAUCUUAUUAUAUUUUAUAUUUUUGAAAUUUACUAUAGCAUAAACACUCAUGAAAUGAUCAAAUACUGCAGAGUAUAAAAAAUAUAAAAGAAGGACAUAUUCUGGAACCAAAAUGUAAAAGUAUGGCACCAAAACCAGAUGAAUUGGGAUGGGAUCAAACACUUGCCAAAGAUGAUUCCAUUGACCACCUCCUCCUCCCAUCCAAAAUAGAUGGAAUGUGGUGCCGCGUAAAUUUCGGCCUCUAUUUAUAUAUCUCAUGGCAUGUUCUCCUAGAGUUAACAAGGUUUCUCAAGACAUAAUUUCUUUUGUACAGUCUCAAACUUAUGCGACAUCAUAUAUUUGGGCAAAUGAUCCAACCGUCCAAGAAGCUCUUCAUAUUAAAAAGGUACUUCUGAUACAAAAUUGUUGAAGAUCCAUUGCACUUUAUAAGGGUUAAUCUUUUAUUUUGAUUGCCAGGGAACAAUAACGGAUUGGACGAGAUGCAAUCACAGCUUAUCCUAUGCACAUAAUAUAGGAAGUGUUGUUCAAUAUCAUAAAAUUCUCAGCAGGAAAGGAUAUGAAGCUUUGGUUUAUAGGUAGUCAUAUUCAUUGUUUUUUUUUUUUUUAAACAUAGUGACUUAAUUUGUUCUGAGUUUAUUCUAGUCCAUCAACUAAGAUAAUAGUUGUUUCACAAGUCAUGGUAAAAGUAUUAAUCGAAAAACCUAACUCUACAAAUUUGUAAAUUAGAUUUAAUAUUUUUCAAUUGUUUGUGUUCUUUCCAGUGGUGAUCAUGACAUGGUCAUACCUUAUAUGGGUACUUUAAAAUGGAUUCAUGGUCUCAAUCUAACAAUAGAUGACGAGUGGAGACCUUGGAAUGUUAACGGCCAAGUUGCAGGGUUGGUUUCCAAUUCUUUAUCACUUCCAUUCACACGCAUAUAUAUUGCAUCUUAUUAAUUAAUCUCCAAAUCUCAUUUACAUUUUAUUUUGUAGAUACACAAGGAAAUACAAGAAGAAUGACUUCUAUCUCACAUUCGUAACUGUGAAGGUAAGAAAAUUUCAAUAUGCUCUUUCUCAUAGUGAUUAACAGAAAAGGAAGUAAACAUUUGUUAUAUAUUGCAGGGUGCAGGUCAUACGGCUCCUGAAUAUAACCCUGAACAAUGUCUUGCAAUGCUUGACCGAUGGCUCUCUUUAUAUCCUUUAUAGGUUUGGGUUGAUGGCGAAGUUUUAAGGGUUCAUCUAUUACAUCUUUUUAACAAGGUAUUGUCGUUAUAUAUUCUGUAAUUGUUUAUUCAGUUAAUAAAACCAAUGUAAUAUGAUAAUCAUACAGAAAUCUAUUAUAAAUGAUUGAAUUUAAAAGAAAAGAUAAUUUU